RNAcentral lists this ribosomal RNA (398 nucleotides) under uncultured bacterium. RNAcentral's name for it is "bacterial SSU rRNA". It matches the Rfam family "Bacterial small subunit ribosomal RNA", at positions 361 to 776 of the family's 1533-position model. The record is from RNAcentral.
AUAUUGGACAAUGGGCGCAAGCCUGAUCCAGCCAUGCCGCGUGAGUGAUGACGGCCUUAGGGUUGUAAAGCUCUUUCGCCAGGGACGAUACUGACUGUACCGGGAGAAUAAGCCCCGGCUAACUCCGUGCCAGCAGCCGCGGUAAUACGGAGGGGGCUAGCGUUGUUCGGAAUUACUGGGCGUAAAGCGCACGUAGGCGGCUUUACAAGUCAGGGGUGAAAGCCCGCGGCUCAACCGCGGAAUUGCCCUUGAGACUGUAUCGCUUGAACACGGGAGAGGUGAGUGGAAUUCCGAGUGUAGAGGUGAAAUUCGUAGAUAUUCGGAAGAACACCAGUGGCGAAGGCGGCUCACUGGACCGUAGUUGACGCUGAGGUGCGAAAGCGUGGGGAGCAAACAGG